CCAUCCAGAACUGAAGAGGAGCAUCUGAGUCCUUCUCUUUAUACACCACCUGAGAAAAAAUAUUUGACUAUAACAUGCACUGAUAGGACCCUGCACAUUUAUUAAGCAAGUAAUUUGAUUUUAUAUUGACUAUAAACUUUUAGUUCUUUUCAGAUUAUCCAAAGCGGCUUACAAUGGAUUCAAGCUACGCAAACAUAUAAAGGUCUCACAGACCUUAUAGCCCAGGAUGAGUCCAUUCCGGUCCGGUUCGGGAACUUCAAACCACCGAACCAGGAUGCUGCUGGAGGUGGUGGCAAAUGCAGAGACAUUGGUGGGGCCACAGGAGGGGACUACACCAAAACAGAUGAAGA
Non-coding RNA from Misgurnus anguillicaudatus (oriental weatherfish), 350 nucleotides. The record is from RefSeq and is a predicted model, not a curated record. NCBI's taxonomy places the organism in Eukaryota, Metazoa, Chordata, Actinopteri, Cypriniformes, Cobitidae.